UGCGAGGAGCUCAGUUCUAUCAUUGGCAAUUACUGGUGGAGCCAGCAAGACAAGGAGAACACCACCCACUGGAUAAGUUGGAAGAAGCUCAUCUUACCCAAGGCGCAGGGGGGUCUCGGAUUCCGCGAUAUGCAUGGAUUCAAUCUGGCCAUGUUGUCGAGGCAGGUUUGGAGGCUCAUUCAAUCACCAGAUUCCCUUUGUGCACAAAUUCUGAAAGCCCGUUACUUCCCGACCGGGUCUCUUAUCGAUGCAAGGCCUGUCGACGGCAUUUCAUACUCUUGGAGGAGCUUGCUGCAUGGUCUUGACCUCUUUCGGGAGGGAUAUAUAUGGAGAAUAGGUGAUGGAACCGGGGUUAGAAUAUGGAGCGACCCGUGGUUACCGCGUCCAGGGUCUCGUAGUGUGAUUACACCGCGUGGACAAUGCCUUCUGGAGUGGGUCAGCGAUCUUAUUGACCCGGUCACCGGCAACUGGGAUGAGCAGCUCGUAAGGGACACUUUCUGGAGUGAGGAUGCAAAUCAGAUUAUGCAGAUUCCGCUAAGGGAAGGUGUCCAAGACUUUAUCGCCUGGCAUUAUGACACAAGGGGAUUACACUCCGUUAAGAGUGCCUACAAGCUGCAGGCUCAGCUUGAGCGAACGAGAGAGAACGGAGAUGUAGGUGGGAGCUCAACCAACCCGGGGAACUUGAAUGAGAUCCGGGACGAUUCGUGGAAAAGGAUUUGGAAGUUGCCGUGUCCUCGAAAUAUCCAAAUGUUCACUUGGAGGUUGAAACACGAAUCCCUAGCUCUUCGUACCAAUGUGGCUCGCAGAGGGAUCCCGAUCACGGACACUAAAUGUCUCUUUUGUGCGCGGGCGGCUAAGGACGGAGCACAUCUGUUCAUCAAGUGCAAAUCGGUGAAGUGCGUGUGGCGGGAGCUAUCACUCGAGGGAGAACGUGCGCAGCUGGAGAGAAUAGGGUCCGUGCAUGCAAUGCUCGAAUUCUUGUGGGGGUUGGAGGAGAAAAAGUGCCUCCAUAUCCUCACCUUCUGGUGGCUGUGGUGGGCCAAUCGUAACAAGCUGCGUAAGGGACAGAUGCCAAUCACAGCGGAGAUGCUUGCGAGGCAAACGAGGGCCAAUGUACUCGAGUACUGGGAAAUCUUCCGACAGCCUGCGGUGAAGUCGCAGCCGGACAAGUGGCGGCCCCCAGUGAAUGCAGAGUACAAGAUCAACGUCGACGGAUCGUUUGUGCCGGGAGAAUUCCAUGCUGGCUGGGGCGCGGCAGUGAGAACGAAGGAUGGUCGGCUGGUGUGCGCCAGGGCUGGCAGGCAGGAUCACGUCACGGAUGCCUUCGCCGCGGAGAUUUAUGCCAUGUCACAUGCGGUCACCAUGGCAGCGGAUCUCGGCAUCGUUCGGCUCAAACUGGAGACGGACUCCCAACUCCUAGCUGAGGCCUUGGACUUGCAAAGAGUGGAUUCCUCUGCCUACGCAUCUGUCAUUGAGGACACGAAGUACCAGCUCAAGCUUUGGUUUGCUAAGGUUGUAAUCACCGUGUGUAGACGCACGGCGAAUUCUGUAGCUCAC
RNAcentral lists this ribosomal RNA (1557 nucleotides) under Triticum aestivum (bread wheat). RNAcentral's name for it is "partial small subunit ribosomal RNA". The record is from RNAcentral. Lineage: Eukaryota; Viridiplantae; Streptophyta; Magnoliopsida; Poales; Poaceae.